Molecule: ribosomal RNA, 495 nt
Filed under: uncultured bacterium
Lineage: Bacteria
Description: partial 16S ribosomal RNA
Rfam family: Bacterial small subunit ribosomal RNA
Source: RNAcentral
GACGAACGCUGGCGGCGUGCCUAAUACAUGCAAGUAGAACGCUGAAGGAGGAGCUUGCUUCUCUGGAUGAGUUGCGAACGGGUGAGUAACGCGUAGGUAACCUGCCUGGUAGCGGGGGAUAACUAUAGGAAACGAUAGCUAAUACCGCAUAAGGGUAGAUGUCGCAUGACAUUUGCUUAAAAGGUGCAAUUGCAUCACUACCAGAUGGACCUGCGUUGUAUUAGCUAGUUGGUGAAGUAACGGCUCACCAAGGCAACGAUACAUAGCCGACCUGAGAGGGUGAUCGGCCACACUGGGACUGAGACACGGCCCAGACGCCUACGAGAGGCAGCAGUAGGGAAUCUUCGGCAAUGGACGGAAGUCUGACCGAGCAACGCCGCGUGAGUGAAGAAGGUUUUCGGAUCGUAAAGCUCUGUUGUAAGAGAAGAAAGAGUGUGAGAGUGGAAAGUUCACACUGUGACGGUAUCUUACCAGAAAGGGACGGCUAACUACGUG